AGAAAUAAAAUCAGAUACAUGAAAGAAUGAAAAUACAGCAUAAAGAAAUAAAGAACAUGACCGUAAAGAGACAAUGGAAGAAGAAAUUUACAAGAAAUUUAUAUAGGUUUGGUCAAACCACUUAACUUACUCUUGUCCCAAAGAAUUUCUUCUGGUGAGUUUCCAAUUAACGAAAUGUGAGUUUUUCAUGGGUUAUGUUUGUUGGGUCAUCAUGAGGAGUAUCCACAUUGGGUCAAGAGCAACACACACACA
RNAcentral lists this long non-coding RNA (252 nucleotides) under Lathyrus oleraceus (garden pea). Its description in RNAcentral is "Pisum sativum (pea) long non-coding RNA (PSAT_LNC037060)". The record is from RNAcentral. Lineage: Eukaryota; Viridiplantae; Streptophyta; Magnoliopsida; Fabales; Fabaceae.